UACGUAGGUGGCAAGCGUUGUCCGGAUUUAUUGGGUUUAAAGGGUGCGUAGGCGGUCUUCUAAGUCAGUGCUGAAAUAUCCCGGCUUAACCGGGAGGGUGGCAUUGAUACUGGGAGACUUGAGUAAAGUUGAGGUAGGCGGAAUUGACGGUGUAGCGGUGAAAUGCGUAGAUAUCUGGAGGAACACCGGUGGCGAAGGCGGCAUCCUGGACCAAUACUGACACUGAGGAGCGAAAGCCAGGGGAGCAAACGGG
Molecule: ribosomal RNA, 253 nt
Filed under: uncultured bacterium
Lineage: Bacteria
Description: partial 16S ribosomal RNA
Rfam family: Bacterial small subunit ribosomal RNA
Source: RNAcentral